GACGAACCGUCCAAACGUUAUUCGGAUUUACUGGGCUUAAAGGGUGCGUAGGCGGUACAGUAAGUUGGGUGUGAAAUCCCUCGGCUCAACCGAGGAACUGCGCCCAAUACUGCUGUGCUAGAGGGAGACAGGGGUGAGCGGAACUGAUGGUGGAGCGGUGAAAUGCGUUGAUAUCAUCAGGAACACCGGUGGCGAAAGCGGCUCACUGGGUCUUUACUGACGCUGAGGCACGAAAGCUAGGGGAGCGAACGGG
This 253-nucleotide unclassified non-coding RNA is filed under the name uncultured Pirellulaceae bacterium. RNAcentral's name for it is "contains 16S-23S intergenic spacer region". It matches the Rfam family "Bacterial small subunit ribosomal RNA", at positions 524 to 776 of the family's 1533-position model. Lineage: Bacteria; Pseudomonadati; Planctomycetota; Planctomycetia; Pirellulales; Pirellulaceae. The record is from RNAcentral.